CCUGCUACAGUAAGAGCUGUUCUCAAACAGUAAGGCACAUCUCUGCUACAGUAGGAGCUGUUCUCAAACAGUAAGGCCCAUCUCUGCUACAGUAAGAGCUGUUCUCAAACAGUAAGGCCCAUCUCUGCUACAGUAAGAGCUGUUCUCAAACAGUAAGGCCCAUCUCUGCUACAGUAAGAGCUGUUCUCAAACAGUAGGCCAUCUCUGAAGACUAGCUGUUCUCAAACAGUAAGACCCAUAUCUGUAAGAGCUGUUCUCAAACAGUAAGGCCCAUCACUGUAGGAGCUGUUCUCAAA
This is a long non-coding RNA of Anguilla rostrata (American eel), 296 nucleotides long. RefSeq lists it as uncharacterized. The record is from RefSeq and is a predicted model, not a curated record. The transcript is spliced from 2 exons. Lineage: Eukaryota; Metazoa; Chordata; Actinopteri; Anguilliformes; Anguillidae.